This 1255-nucleotide long non-coding RNA is filed under the name Anas platyrhynchos (mallard). RNAcentral's name for it is "lncRNA (ENSAPLG00020003510.1)". The record is from RNAcentral. Lineage: Eukaryota; Metazoa; Chordata; Aves; Anseriformes; Anatidae.
GUUUGGUAGCAGCUGCUGGACAUAUUCUUCAUUCAUUUCUCUAAUCUCCACUUGAACCCGUAGGUUGCUUUGCUUGAUAAGUCCCUGUGGCACUGAGUUUCACACUUCUUGUUUUAUAUGAAAAAGCACUGCCCUUGGCCUCUCUCUCUAAGCGGCUGCCAGUUUAAAAACAGGCUCUCUAGCUUCCUCUAUUAGAUACAGUAAAUAAUAUCCACCUCCUGCUUUUUUUUUUUUUUUUUUUAACCACUUCAUUCCAUUCAUAAUUUUCGAGAUGUUGAUUCUAUGGUCUCUUAACCAGCUGGUGUGUCCCAAUUUACUUAGCUGCUUCUUGUCUAGAAGUUGUCCUCUACUUUUAACUUUUACUUAGUAUGUUACCAUUUUCGCUAUUCUUUUCUAGUUCUAUUGCUUACUCUGAGACACGCAGUGUGGAGAUGAAUGCAGCAGUGUAAUGAAAGGACCCUGAUGUGCUGCCCAUAGUGUGUAACCUCGUAAGGUUUCUCGUAUGAGUAAGUGCCUGUGGACUUGAGCCAAAGCUUGAACUGAUUAGCCUGAGAAGACCAGUACUAUCACCAGACCGCGUGGUGUCAGAACAAGAUAAAACUGUACAGCUUCUGAAACUCUGUUUAACUGUACUUCCCAGGAGCUUGUUCAGCAAUGUCAAUACAUUAUGGAAUCAAUGGGGAACAGGAAGAAGACAAGCAGGAAACUGUGCAUAUUGUAGGAAAAUAAUACAGAACAUAUGUGCAAGGAUUCCUUCAGGUAACUUUACGCUUAUAGCCAAAAUAAAUUGCAAGAUAGUUUUCAUUUCCAUUACUUCUCUUGGUCUUUUUUUUUUUUUUUUUUUUUUACAAGGUACACUUCCACUAAUUAAAGGUAACUCUUGCUAAUAGAAGCUAAUAGAAGAUAAAUUUUCUGCAGUGUUGCCAGUCCUCAAUAGGUGCGGAGAAAGAUUCAAAAUCUUGAAUCAAAAGUAUUUAUUUUAUCCUGUAGUGCUACAGCUAGUUUUGUAUCUAUAAGAUAUGUGAAGAUGCAUUGUACCUUGUCAUCUGCAUUUCCAACAAGCAAGUAAGAGGUCAAGUGAGCAACAUAUAUCCCCUUUUGUGCAUAACUGCAAGAUUCAAGGGAGUGGUAUAGCUCCAGAGCCUCUGCCAGCAGGUGUGAUAAGCUGUGAGGUGAUGUAUACAUAGUGCUCUGUGCCAGACUGACAAACUCAUGCACUGAGGGAUAGUGCAAAGGUUGUGUAACAUGGGGGCAG